Molecule: ribosomal RNA, 429 nt
Filed under: Actinomycetes bacterium
Lineage: Bacteria; Bacillati; Actinomycetota; Actinomycetes
Description: Actinobacteria bacterium partial 16S ribosomal RNA
Rfam family: Bacterial small subunit ribosomal RNA
Source: RNAcentral
UAGGGAAUCUUCCGCAAUGGGCGAAAGCCUGACGGAGCAACGCCGCGUGAGUGAUGAAGGUCUUCGGAUCGUAAAACUCUGUUAUUAGGGAAGAACAAAUGUGUAAGUAACUAUGCACGUCUUGACGGUACCUAAUCAGAAAGCCACGGCUCACUACGUGCCAGCAGCCGCGGUAAUACGUAGGUGGCAAGCGUUAUCCGGAAUUAUUGGGCGUAAAGCGCGCGUAGGCGGUUUUUUAAGUCUGAUGUGAAAGCCCACGGCUCAACCGUGGAGGGUCAUUGGAAACUGGAAGACUUGAGUGUAGAAGAGGAAAGUGGAAUUCCAUGUGUAGCGGUGAAAUGCGCAGAGAUAUGGAGGAACACCAGUGGCGAAGGCGACUUUCUGGUCUGUAACUGACGCUGAUGUGCGAAAGCGUGGGGAUCAAACAGG